UCUGCCCUUCACUCUGGGACAAGCCCUGGAAACGGGGUCUAAUACCGGAUAACACUCCUGCCUGCAUGGGCGGGGGUUAAAAGCUCCGGCGGUGAAGGAUGAGCCCGCGGCCUAUCAGCUUGUUGGUGAGGUAACGGCUCACCAAGGCGACGACGGGUAGCCGGCCUGAGAGGGCGACCGGCCACACUGGGACUGAGACACGGCCCAGACUCCUACGGGAGGCAGCAGUGGGGAAUAUUGCACAAUGGGCGAAAGCCUGAUGCAGCGACGCCGCGUGAGGGAUGACKGCCUUCGGGUUGUAAACCUCUUUCAGCAGGGAAGAAGCGAAAGUGACGGUACCUGCAGAAGAAGCGCCGGCUAACUACGUGCCAGCAGCCGCGGUAAUACGUAGGGCGCAAGCGUUGUCCGGAAUUAUUGGGCGUAAAGAGCUCGUAGGCGGCUUGUCACGUCGGUUGUGAAAGCCCGGGGCUUAACCCCGGGUCUGCAGUCGAUACGGGCAGGCUAGAGUUCGGKAGGGGAGAUCGGAAUUCSUGGUGUAGCGGUGAAAUGCGCAGAUAUCAGGAGGAACACCGGUGGCGAAGGCGGAUCUCUGGGCCGAUACUGACGCUGAGGAGCGAAAGCGUGGGGAGCGAACAGGAUUAGAUAYYCUGGUAGUCCACGCCGUAAACGGUGRGCACUACGUGUGGGCACAUUCCACGUUGUCCGUGCCGCAGCUAAYGCAUUAAGUGCCCCGCCUGGGGAGUACGGCCGCAAGCUAAACUCAAGGAAGUGACGGGGGGCCCGCACGAGCUGCGGAGCAUGUKGCUUAAUUCGACGCACGCGAGAACUUACUAUGCUGACU
Molecule: ribosomal RNA, 841 nt
Filed under: Streptomyces sp. P76
Lineage: Bacteria; Bacillati; Actinomycetota; Actinomycetes; Kitasatosporales; Streptomycetaceae
Description: bacterial SSU rRNA
Rfam family: Bacterial small subunit ribosomal RNA
Source: RNAcentral